This 287-nucleotide ribosomal RNA is filed under the name Aeromonas veronii. Its description in RNAcentral is "partial 16S ribosomal RNA". It matches the Rfam family "Bacterial small subunit ribosomal RNA", at positions 115 to 405 of the family's 1533-position model. The record is from RNAcentral. Lineage: Bacteria; Pseudomonadati; Pseudomonadota; Gammaproteobacteria; Aeromonadales; Aeromonadaceae.
GCCUGGGGAUCUGCCCAGUCGAGGGGGAUAACUACUGGAAACGGUAGCUAAUACCGCAUACGCCCUACGGGGGAAAGCAGGGGACCUUCGGGCCUUGCGCGAUUGGAUGAACCCAGGUGGGAUUAGCUAGUUGGUGAGGUAAUGGCUCACCAAGGCGACGAUCCCUAGCUGGUCUGAGAGGAUGAUCAGCCACACUGGAACUGAGACACGGUCCAGACUCCUACGGGAGGCAGCAGUGGGGAAUAUUGCACAAUGGGGGAAACCCUGAUGCAGCCAUGCCGCGUGUG